GGGCGUGUAGCUCAGCUGGGAGAGCGCUUCCUUCGCAAGGAAGAGGUCUGGGGUUCGAUCCCCCACACGUCCACCA
RNAcentral lists this transfer RNA (76 nucleotides) under Pseudomonadota bacterium. RNAcentral describes it as "tRNA-Ala". It matches the Rfam family "tRNA". Rfam says of the family: Transfer RNA (tRNA) molecules are approximately 80 nucleotides in length. Their secondary structure includes four short double-helical elements and three loops (D, anti-codon, and T loops). Further hydrogen bonds mediate the characteristic L-shaped molecular structure. tRNAs have two regions of fundamental functional importance: the anti-codon, which is responsible for specific mRNA codon recognition, and the 3' end, to which the tRNAs corresponding amino acid is attached (by aminoacyl-tRNA synthetases). tRNAs cope with the degeneracy of the genetic code in two manners: having more than one tRNA (with a specific anti-codon) for a particular amino acid; and 'wobble' base-pairing, i.e. permitting non-standard base-pairing at the 3rd anti-codon position. RNAcentral also lists the same sequence under 1 other name. Lineage: Bacteria; Pseudomonadati; Pseudomonadota. The record is from RNAcentral.